This 122-nucleotide small nuclear RNA is filed under the name Canis lupus familiaris (dog). RNAcentral describes it as "U4 spliceosomal RNA". It matches the Rfam family "U4 spliceosomal RNA". From Rfam's summary of the family: U4 small nuclear RNA (U4 snRNA) is a component of the major U2-dependent spliceosome. RNAcentral also lists the same sequence under 1 other name. Lineage: Eukaryota; Metazoa; Chordata; Mammalia; Carnivora; Canidae. The record is from Rfam by way of RNAcentral.
AGCUUUGCACAGUAGCAGUAUUGUAGCCAAUGAGAUUUAUCCGAGGAGCAAUUAUUGCUAAUUGAAAAGACAUAUAAGACAUUGAGUUAAAACACUGAAAAAAUUAUCUGAAAUAUUGAUUU